Molecule: ribosomal RNA, 288 nt
Filed under: Vibrio cyclitrophicus
Lineage: Bacteria; Pseudomonadati; Pseudomonadota; Gammaproteobacteria; Vibrionales; Vibrionaceae
Description: partial 16S ribosomal RNA
Rfam family: Bacterial small subunit ribosomal RNA
Source: RNAcentral
AAAUUGAAGAGUUUGAUCAUGGCUCAGAUUGAACGCUGGCGGCAGGCCUAACACAUGCAAGUCGAGCGGAAACGACAUUAACAAUCCUUCGGGUGCGUUAAUGGGCGUCGAGCGGCGGACGGGUGAGUAAUGCCUAGGAAAUUGCCUUGAUGUGGGGGAUAACCAUUGGAAACGAUGGCUAAUACCGCAUAAUGCCUACGGGCCAAAGAGGGGGACCUUCGGGCCUCUCGCGUCAAGAUAUGCCUAGGUGGGAUUAGCUAGUUGGUGAGGUAAUGGCUCACCAAGGCG